This 508-nucleotide long non-coding RNA is filed under the name Mytilus galloprovincialis (Mediterranean mussel). The record is from RNAcentral. Lineage: Eukaryota; Metazoa; Mollusca; Bivalvia; Mytilida; Mytilidae.
AUCUUCAACUCGUAUCAAUUUCAGGGUGGGAAAGUGCACCUGAAGACUUCAUUGUCCAUCCAAAGUUUGAGGUACCUAUACAGAAAUGGGUAUGGGCUCAUAUUUUAACUCUUUCUGUACAGUUCCCUACGGCAAAGUUUUUACCCACACCUAGUGGGAUUGAAAGCUUGUCCCAGACCCUUUUAUUCAUGAAAAUGCCCGGGUGGGAAAGUGCACCAGAAGCUGACAACCCCAUACCCAAUUUCUCAAUUUUGUCCAUUACGGGUGGUGGCAGCAGUGGCUUUACUGCCACCCCCCUACGGCAAAGUUCUUGACCGCAGGUGGUUAGAUUGAUAGCUUUCAUCCAUAUCUUCAACUCGUAUCAAUUUCAGGGUGGGAAAGUGCACCUGAAGACUUCAUUGUCCAUCCAAAGUUUGAGGUACCUAUACAGAAAUGGGUAUGGGCUCAUAUUUUAACUCUUUCUGUACAGUUCCCUACGGCAAAGUUUUUACCCACACCUAGUGGGAUU